Molecule: ribosomal RNA, 459 nt
Filed under: uncultured bacterium
Lineage: Bacteria
Description: partial 16S ribosomal RNA
Rfam family: Bacterial small subunit ribosomal RNA
Source: RNAcentral
CCUACGGGGGGCUGCAGUGAGGAAUAUUGGUCAAUGGGCGGGAGCCUGAACCAGCCAAGUCGCGUGAGGGAAGACGGUCCUAUGGAUUGUAAACCUCUUUUGUCAGGGAGCAAAGGGCGCCACGUGUGGCGCUUUGCGAGUACCUGAAGAAAAAGCAUCGGCUAACUCCGUGCCAGCAGCCGCGGUAAUACGGAGGAUGCGAGCGUUAUCCGGAUUUAUUGGGUUUAAAGGGUGCGCAGGCGGAAUGUCAAGUCAGCGGUAAAAUUUCGGGGCUCAACCCCGUCGUGCCGUUGAAACUGGCGUUCUUGAGUGAGCGAGAAGUAUGCGGAAUGCGUGGUGUAGCGGUGAAAUGCAUAGAUAUCACGCAGAACUCCGAUUGCGAAGGCAGCAUACCGGCGCUCAACUGACGCUCAUGCACGAAAGCGUGGGUAUCGAACAGGAUUAGAUACCCGAGUAGUC